This 69-nucleotide transfer RNA is filed under the name Xenohyla truncata (Izecksohn's Brazilian treefrog). Its description in RNAcentral is "tRNA-Val". It matches the Rfam family "tRNA". Rfam says of the family: Transfer RNA (tRNA) molecules are approximately 80 nucleotides in length. Their secondary structure includes four short double-helical elements and three loops (D, anti-codon, and T loops). Lineage: Eukaryota; Metazoa; Chordata; Amphibia; Anura; Hylidae. The record is from RNAcentral.
CAAAAUGUAGCUUAACGAAAGCAUCUCGCUUACACCGAGACGAUAUCCGCGAAACCCAGAUCAUUUUGA